This is a long non-coding RNA of Tachysurus vachellii, 554 nucleotides long. RefSeq lists it as uncharacterized. The record is from RefSeq and is a predicted model, not a curated record. The transcript is spliced from 3 exons. Lineage: Eukaryota; Metazoa; Chordata; Actinopteri; Siluriformes; Bagridae.
AUUUUGAGGUGCUCUUCCGGUUUCCGGUUCCGUGCUUCAACAGAGGCCGCUGGGUGUUAAUGGUGCGGCUAGCUGCACGGCAGUUCAGCUUUGUUCCAGUUACUUUCAGUUGCCUGGGAGUGUUUCGCAACGGAAAGAAAAGGGUCAAAAACAAUCUCUGUGACAGACUGUCUACCCCCAGGUAUGUGAGUUUGUUUUAUCUAUUUUUAUGUGAGACGCUAGGCUAAAUGCCGGGGGUGUAGUGUUAAUUGCUUUAUUUCCCCCAGCCAGUGUUAUUUCGUCACCCGAUGUUCAUCCAUAUCCGGUUUAUUACUGAACCAAUACUGUAUCUGUGAUUUGGUGUGGCAGACGGCUAUUUCUCCGGUUCCGGGGAAUUCCUGCUGUAUGUGCAGUUGAUGCUGCACCUUGUUCCCGGGACAACGCUGCUGUUUUGUUCCGUGUUAAUUUUUUUUGUGUUAAAUUGCUUUGCUCCUCGUUAAAUUGUUCUCUUUGGUAACUGUUUAUUUUUGGUUUCGGUUUUGUUUCUUGAUUUAUAGCCACACUGUUACCUUCUU